This 391-nucleotide unclassified non-coding RNA is filed under the name soil metagenome. Its description in RNAcentral is "partial contains 5.8S ribosomal RNA, internal transcribed spacer 2, and large subunit ribosomal RNA". The stretch from base 1 to 122 matches the Rfam family "5.8S ribosomal RNA", at positions 35 to 154 of the family's 154-position model. The record is from RNAcentral.
GAUGAAGAACGCAGCGAAAUGCGAUACUUGGUGUGAAUUGCAGAAUCCCGUGAACCAUCGAGUCUUUGAACGCAAGUUGCGCCCGAAGCCAUUAGGCCGAGGGCACGCCUGCCUGGGCGUCACACGUCGUUGCCCCCCCAUCUACUCCUUCGGGAUUGCGGGGGGCGGAUGAUGGCCUCCCGUGCGCCUCGUCGCGCGGUUGGCAUAAAUGCCAAGUCCUCGGCGACGCACGCCACGACAAUCGGUGGUUGCGAAACCUCGGUUGCCCGUCGUGUGCGGUCGUCGCGCAUCGAGGGCUCGAAAAAAUUGUCGGGCUCCGGCUCGGCUUUCAACGCGACCCCAGGUCAGGCGGGGUUACCCGCUGAAUUUAAGCAUAUCAAUAAGCGGUGGA